AUAAAAUGGCUCCAUGUGUAUUUUUAGCAAAUAACAGAGUAUUAGGUUUUCUUCAAUUCAGAUUUUGAGUGAUAUCUUCUUCCUGAUUCUCUUCACGCGCAAAUCUAGCUAGAGUUUGUACGUCAACUGAAAGGCUGUUUUUCUGACGUUUGAGCUUGAUCGACAAGCUGUCACCACUUCAAAUUGAAGCUCUUGGUUUUGCUCUCCGAGAAUCACUAAAAACUUGACACUCAUGAAAACGAAGGUCUCUCCAUUCUGAAUUCCUUAUCUAUUGCAAUUUACGCCAUAUCUCAAGGUGGUAUUUUUGGUCAAAGAUUGACACGAAUAAUGCAUCACUUUUUGCCAAUAUGUAAAUAGUACUCCUAUAUAUAUAUAUAUAUA
Molecule: long non-coding RNA, 381 nt
Organism: Nicotiana tabacum (common tobacco)
Lineage: Eukaryota; Viridiplantae; Streptophyta; Magnoliopsida; Solanales; Solanaceae
Source: RefSeq, a predicted model, not a curated record